Unclassified non-coding RNA from Ictidomys tridecemlineatus (thirteen-lined ground squirrel), 330 nucleotides. Its record names the gene 7SK. It matches the Rfam family "7SK RNA". Rfam says of the family: 7SK was discovered as an abundant small nuclear RNA in the mid-70s but a possible function has only recently been suggested. NCBI's taxonomy places the organism in Eukaryota, Metazoa, Chordata, Mammalia, Rodentia, Sciuridae. The record is from Ensembl.
AUGUGAGGGUGAUCUGGCUGCAACAUUUGUCACCCUGCUGAUCACCAGGGUUUAUUCAGCUGAUCUGGCUGGCUAGGCAGAUGUCCCCUUUCUCCUUCACCACUGGAUGUGUACCACUCCCAGAGCUGUGCACUCAGUCAUAGAGAAGGACCUUCCCCAGUAGAGGAGGACCAUUUUCAGUCAAGGGUAUACAAGUAGCUGUGCUCCCCAAUCAGGCAGUAAUUUGCUGUCAGCAUGCAAUAAAAAGGUCUCCAGCUGUUAGCAAAAAAAGGAUGUGAGACAGAAUCUCCACACUUAGAAAGUCCCAAGGAAGAUUGGAGACUGGACCUC